This 73-nucleotide transfer RNA is filed under the name Loxodonta africana (African savanna elephant). It matches the Rfam family "tRNA". From Rfam's summary of the family: Transfer RNA (tRNA) molecules are approximately 80 nucleotides in length. Lineage: Eukaryota; Metazoa; Chordata; Mammalia; Proboscidea; Elephantidae. The record is from Rfam by way of RNAcentral.
GCUCGGGUGGCAUAAAUGGUUAAGUGCUUGAUUGUUAACCGAGAGGUUGGUGGUUCGAACCCACCCAGUGGCU